Molecule: ribosomal RNA, 119 nt
Filed under: Blautia difficilis
Lineage: Bacteria; Bacillati; Bacillota; Clostridia; Lachnospirales; Lachnospiraceae
Description: partial 16S ribosomal RNA
Rfam family: Bacterial small subunit ribosomal RNA
Source: RNAcentral
CCGAAGUCAGUGACCUAACCGCAAGGGAGGAGCUGCCGAAGGCGGGACCGAUGACUGGGGUGAAGUCGUAACAAGGUAGCCGUAUCGGAAGGUGCGGCUGGAUCACCUCCUUUCUAAGG